GCUCCGGUGGCCUAGUGGUUAGAGCGUCUUCCUCGGAUGCGGGUGGUCAUGGGUACGAACCCCGGCCGAGUCA
Molecule: non-coding RNA, 73 nt
Organism: Potamilus streckersoni
Lineage: Eukaryota; Metazoa; Mollusca; Bivalvia; Unionida; Unionidae
Source: the annotation of a GenBank genome assembly